Molecule: ribosomal RNA, 627 nt
Filed under: Triticum aestivum (bread wheat)
Lineage: Eukaryota; Viridiplantae; Streptophyta; Magnoliopsida; Poales; Poaceae
Description: partial small subunit ribosomal RNA
Source: RNAcentral
AUGGCCGGCGAGGAGGGUUCGUCCUGCCGGCGCACCACAAGGAGCAUGACGGCGAACGAGCGUGCCGCCAAGGAAGCGGCGCCUGCCGGCGACGAGCGCGCGCAGAAGCGGCGCCAGCGUGGCACCGCCAAAAAGAAGGCUCCACGUCCACUCAAGGCGCGCAACAGCAAAAGGAAAGCGGCCGCGGCCGCGGCCGGGAUCGGCUUCUCGGAGCUGUACGAGGGGGCGCGGGCCUCCGGGAAGAAGCUGGCGCGGCUGCCGCAGGAGGAGGUCGACUGGAUCCUCGCCCAGGACCACGGCGACGACCCCGCCCACGACCCUCCCGAGGUCAAGGCCCUGAGGCGCCUGAGCCGCGACCAGUGGCCGUCGCUGGAGGAGGAGGAGAAGACGGACAUGUACGGCCCACGGGCGCAGAUCGAGACCCAGGAGGAGGCCCGCAGGUUCCAGGACUGGGUCCGCAGCGAGUACGCCGAGCGCGGCUACAUCGAGGUCGCCGAGGAGUACAUCGUCGGCAGGGACCAGACCCGGGCGUAUAUGGACGAGGCGCGGGUGGAGGCCAUGAACUCCAUCGACUUCUCCGGCGGCAACGAGGAUCUCAAGCGUUUCUUUGAAAAGACAUGGCCCUGA